CAGUGGUUAGAUACCCAUUCAGCGGUUAGAUACCCAUUCAGUGGUUAGAUAUCCCAUUCAGUGGUUAGAUACCCAUUCAGUGGUUAGAUACCCAUUCAGUGGUUAGAUAUCCAUUCAGUGGUUAGAUAUCCAUUCAGUGGUUAGAUACCCAUUCAGUGGUUAGAUAUCCAUUCAGUGGUUAGAUAUCCAUUCAGUGGUUAGAUAUCCAUUCAGUGGUUAGAUAUAGGAAUUUAAUGAAAGUUGACCACAGUACAGUAGAUCAGGGGUUAUAGUGGAUAUACACUGGGUGGACAAAACUUUAGGAACAACUUCCUAAUAUUUAGUUUUGUCCUCAGAAGGUGUUCCACAGAGAUGGCUGCGCAUGUUGACUCCAAAGCUUCCCAAAGUUGUGUCAAGUUGGCUGGAUGUCCUUUGGGUGAUGGACCAUUCUUGAUACACACGGGAAACUGUUGAGGGUGGAAAACCCAGCAGAGGGAAGGUUCAUGUCUUGAUCAGAGGAAGUCGGUCAGGGAGAUGGAGAGGGACAGUUGAUGUCUUGAUCAGAGGAAGGCGGUCAGGGAGAUGGAGAGGGACAGUUGAUGUCUUGAUCAGAGGAAGGUGGUCAGGGAGAUGGAGAGGGACAGUUGAUGUCUUGAUCAGAGGAAGGUGGUCAGGGAGAUGGAGAGGGACAGUUGAUGUCUUGAUCAGAGGAAGGCGGUCAGGGAGAUGGAGAGGGACAGACAGAACAGCUACCUAAGACGAGAGGUGGUGGUCUGUCUCUAUUUGUCAACAACAGCUGGUGCGCAAUCUAUUAAGGAAGUCUCAAGGUUUUGCUGGCCUGAGGUAGAGUACCUCAUGAUAAGUUGUGGACCACACUAUCUACCAAGAGAGUUUUCAUCUAUAUUUUCGUAGCCGUCUAUUUACCACCACAAACCGAUGCUGGCACUAAGACCGCAUUCAGCCAGCUGUUUAAGGCCAUAAGCAAAGAAGAACAUGCUCAUCCAGAAGCGGCGCUCCUAGUGGCCGGGGACUUUAAUGCAGGAAAACUUAAAUCCGUUUGACCUCAUUUCUACCAGCAUGUCACGUGCAACCAGAGAAAAAAUAACACUAGACCACCUUUACUCCACACACAGCGAUGCAUAUAAAGCUCUCCCUCGCCCUCCAUUUGGCAAAUCUGACCAUAAUUAUGUCCUCCUGAUUCCUGCUUACAAGCAAAAACUAAAGCAGGAAGUACCAGUGACUCGCUCAAUACAGAAAUAGUCAGAUGACACAGAUGCUAAGCUACAGGACUGUUUUGCAAACUGGCUUCAUCAAUAAGUGCAUCGAUGACGUCGUCCACACAGUGACCGUACGUACAUAUCCCAACCAGAAGCCAUGAAUUACAGGACACAUCCACACUGAGCUAAAGGCUGCCGCUUUCAAGGAGCGGGACACAACUUUGGAUAUUUAUAAAAAAUCCCACUAUGCCCUCUGACGAACCAUCAAACAGGCAAGGCGUAAAUGGACUAAGAUUGAAUCCUACUACACCGGCUCUGAUUGACUACAGCUCAGCGUUUAAUACCAUAGCUUAGUGAUGAGCUUUGAGGGCACUAAGGACCUUGAGACCCAAUACCUCCCUCUGCAAUGGAUCCUGGACUUUCUGAUGGGCCACCUCCAGGUGCUAAGGGUAGGCAGCAACACAUCUGUCACGCUGAUCCUCAACACGGGGGCCCCAGAGGGGAGCGUGCUUAGUCCCCUCCUAUAAACCCUGUUCACCCACGACUCCUUGAUGUCCACAUCACCAACAAACUAUUAUGGUCCAAACACACCAAGAUAGUUGUGAAGAGGGCAUGACAACACCUUUUCCCCCUCAGGAGACUGAAAAGAUUUGGCAUGGGUUCUCAGAUCCUCAAAAGGUUAUACAACUGUACCAUCGAGAGCAUCCUGACUGGUACAGUAUGGCAACCGCUCAGCAUCCGACCGCAAGGCGCUACAGAGGGUAGUGCAUACGGUCCAGUACAUUACUGGGCCCAAGCUUCCUGCCAUCCAGGACCUCUAUACUAGGCAAUGUCAGAGGAAGGCCCUAAAUAUUGUCAAAAACUCCAGCCACCCCAGUCAUAGACUGUUCUCUCUGCUACCACUCGGGAAGUGGUACUGGAGUGCCAAGUCUGGGUCCAAAAGGCUCCUUAGGACCCACGUACAGAUGGAGCUGCCGUUCUCUGGUCUGGAGUUGACCUUCAUCAUCAUCGCCUUCAUCAUAUUUUCUCUCUUCAGCCUGGCCUCAGUCUGUACUCAGCCAGACACAGAGGAAGCUGUGUGUGAAGAGAAGAGGUUCCAAAGGAGACCAGAGAGGAAGCAACGUGUCAUCGUCAAACUGGCCUCUCAGAAAGAACCCUAAACACUGUCCCAAACUUGCCUCUCAGGAAGAACCCUAAACACUGUCCCAAACUGGCCUCUCAGAAAGAACCCUAAACACUGUCCCAAACUGGCCUCUCAGAAAGAACCCUAAACACUGUCCCAAACUGGCCUCUCAGAAAGAACCCUAAACACUGUCCCAAAC
Molecule: long non-coding RNA, 2518 nt
Organism: Oncorhynchus tshawytscha (Chinook salmon)
Lineage: Eukaryota; Metazoa; Chordata; Actinopteri; Salmoniformes; Salmonidae
Source: Ensembl